RNAcentral lists this ribosomal RNA (253 nucleotides) under uncultured Vampyrellida. Its description in RNAcentral is "partial small subunit ribosomal RNA". It matches the Rfam family "Eukaryotic small subunit ribosomal RNA", at positions 587 to 841 of the family's 1831-position model. The record is from RNAcentral. Lineage: Eukaryota; Endomyxa; Vampyrellida.
AGCUCCAAUAGCGUAUGCUAAAGUUGUUGCAGUUAAAAGGCUCGUAGUCGAACUUUUGGCCCUGUGAACCUGACCCAGCCUCACGAGGUUGCGUGCCAGAGUGCACGGGCCAUUCUUCUGGAGAGCUCGGCCGUCCUUUUGGGCGCGCCGAGCAAUUCAGAUCCUUUACUGUGAGUAAAUCAAAGUGUUCAAAGCAGGCUUUAAGCUUGUAUGGUUCAGCAUGGAAUAAUAAGAUAAGACUUCGGUUCUAUUU